RNAcentral lists this ribosomal RNA (245 nucleotides) under uncultured bacterium. Its description in RNAcentral is "partial 16S ribosomal RNA". It matches the Rfam family "Bacterial small subunit ribosomal RNA", at positions 524 to 768 of the family's 1533-position model. The record is from RNAcentral.
UACGUAGGUGGCAAGCGUUGUCCGGAAUUACUGGGCGUAAAGGGCGUGUAGGCGGUUUUUUAAGUCAGGCGUGAAAAUCCAAGGCUUAACCUUGGACCUGCGUUUGAAACUGGAAGACUUGAGGGCGGGAGAGGAAAGCGGAACUCCAUGUGUAGCGGUGAAAUGCGUAGAUAUAUGGAAGAACACCAGUGGCGAAGGCGGCUUUCUGGACCGAUCCUGACGCUGAGGCGCGAAAGCCAGGGGAG